Long non-coding RNA from Mandrillus leucophaeus (drill), 793 nucleotides. RefSeq lists it as uncharacterized. The transcript has 2 exons. NCBI's taxonomy places the organism in Eukaryota, Metazoa, Chordata, Mammalia, Primates, Cercopithecidae. The record is from RefSeq and is a predicted model, not a curated record.
UUUUUUUUUUUUUUUUUUUCUUUUGAGACGGAGUCUCGCUCUGUCGCCAGGCUGGAGUGCAGUGGCAGGACCUGGGCUCACUGCUAUGGGCUCACUGCAAUCUCCGCCUCCCAGGUUCAAGUGAUUCUCCUGCGUAAGGCUCCUGAGUAGCUGGUAUUACAGGGGCCUGUCACCACACCCAGCUAAUUUUUGUUAUUUUUAGUAGAGACGGGGUUUCACCAUGUUGGCCAGGAUGGUCUGGAUCUCUUGACCUCGUGAUCGGUCUGCCUUGGCCUCCCAUAGUACUGGGAUUAGGGGCGUGAGCCACCGUACCCGGCCUGCUUCCUAUUUUAACAGAUGAAGUAGUGGAAUGACUUCCAGCAACAGAGGUUGGAGCUGAAGGAGUGCCCAGGCUGGGAACGGAGGAAGGACGUGCUCGGGAGAAGGUGAAGAUGGGAGAGAAGCAAGAUCUAUGUGUUUGGACCAAGGACACAUUUCCUUACUCCAUAGCAACUGUGGUCAGUGGCUUAGCUCGGACAAGGAGAUGAGAGCCCAUGUGUUGUGAGGGUUCUUCUGGGAACUCUGAGAAGGCAGGGGCCGCCCACUGCUGCCUCUCUUCCAUUCUGCAGCAGGGAAUAUGGAUGUGUGGUCUGGAUGUACAGACACCAUUUUGGACCAUAAAGACAAGGACGAUUGUCUAAGGAUGGCACAGCCAGAGCACUGGGAGUGGCGAGAAGGACAGGGGAGCUGCUGUGCCAAGCAGGACUGUCUGUCUCUUAAGAUAAAAAUAAAAUUUAUUGGUAUUUAAACCAUU